This 2799-nucleotide ribosomal RNA is filed under the name Escherichia coli. RNAcentral's name for it is "bacterial LSU rRNA". It matches the Rfam family "Bacterial large subunit ribosomal RNA". Lineage: Bacteria; Pseudomonadati; Pseudomonadota; Gammaproteobacteria; Enterobacterales; Enterobacteriaceae. The record is from RNAcentral.
AGAUAUAUAUGAGAGAUAGAAACCCAGUGUGUUUCGACACACUAUCAUUAACUGAAUCCAUAGGUUAAUGAGGCGAACCGGGGGAACUGAAACAUCUAAGUACCCCGAGGAAAAGAAAUCAACCGAGAUUCCCCCAGUAGCGGCGAGCGAACGGGGAGGAGCCCAGAGCCUGAAUCAGUGUGUGUGUUAGUGGAAGCGUCUGGAAAGGCGCGCGAUACAGGGUGACAGCCCCGUACACAAAAAUGCACAUAUUGUGAGCUCGAUGAGUAGGGCGGGACACGUGGUAUCCUGUCUGAAUAUGGGGGGACCAUCCUCCAAGGCUAAAUACUCCUGACUGACCGAUAGUGAACCAGUACCGUGAGGGAAAGGCGAAAAGAACCCCGGCGAGGGGAGUGAAAAAGAACCUGAAACCGUGUACGUACAAGCAGUGGGAGCCUCUUAAUGGGGUGACUGCGUACCUUUUGUAUAAUGGGUCAGCGACUUAUAUUCUGUAGCAAGGUUAACCGAAUAGGGGAGCCGAAGGGAAACCGAGUCUUAACUGGGCGUUAAGUUGCAGGGUAUAGACCCGAAACCCGGUGAUCUAGCCAUGGGCAGGUUGAAGGUUGGGUAACACUAACUGGAGGACCGAACCGACUAAUGUUGAAAAAUUAGCGGAUGACUUGUGGCUGGGGGUGAAAGGCCAAUCAAACCGGGAGAUAGCUGGUUCUCCCCGAAAGCUAUUUAGGUAGCGCCUCGUGAAUUCAUCUCCGGGGGUAGAGCACUGUUUCGGCAAGGGGGUCAUCCCGACUUACCAACCCGAUGCAAACUGCGAAUACCGGAGAAUGUUAUCACGGGAGACACACGGCGGGUGCUAACGUCCGUCGUGAAGAGGGAAACAACCCAGACCGCCAGCUAAGGUCCCAAAGUCAUGGUUAAGUGGGAAACGAUGUGGGAAGGCCCAGACAGCCAGGAUGUUGGCUUAGAAGCAGCCAUCAUUUAAAGAAAGCGUAAUAGCUCACUGGUCGAGUCGGCCUGCGCGGAAGAUGUAACGGGGCUAAACCAUGCACCGAAGCUGCGGCAGCGACACUAUGUGUUGUUGGGUAGGGGAGCGUUCUGUAAGCCUGUGAAGGUGUACUGUGAGGUAUGCUGGAGGUAUCAGAAGUGCGAAUGCUGACAUAAGUAACGAUAAAGCGGGUGAAAAGCCCGCUCGCCGGAAGACCAAGGGUUCCUGUCCAACGUUAAUCGGGGCAGGGUGAGUCGACCCCUAAGGCGAGGCCGAAAGGCGUAGUCGAUGGGAAACAGGUUAAUAUUCCUGUACUUGGUGUUACUGCGAAGGGGGGACGGAGAAGGCUAUGUUGGCCGGGCGACGGUUGUCCCGGUUUAAGCGUGUAGGCUGGUUUUCCAGGCAAAUCCGGAAAAUCAAGGCUGAGGCGUGAUGACGAGGCACUACGGUGCUGAAGCGACAAAUGCCCUGCUUCCAGGAAAAGCCUCUAAGCAUCAGGUAACAUCAAAUCGUACCCCAAACCGACACAGGUGGUCAGGUAGAGAAUACCAAGGCGCUUGAGAGAACUCGGGUGAAGGAACUAGGCAAAAUGGUGCCGUAACUUCGGGAGAAGGCACGCUGAUAUGUAGGUGAAGCGACUUGCUCGUGGAGCUGAAAUCAGUCGAAGAUACCAGCUGGCUGCAACUGUUUAUUAAAAACACAGCACUGUGCAAACACGAAAGUGGACGUAUACGGUGUGACGCCUGCCCGGUGCCGGAAGGUUAAUUGAUGGGGUUAGCGGUAACGCGAAGCUCUUGAUCGAAGCCCCGGUAAACGGCGGCCGUAACUAUAACGGUCCUAAGGUAGCGAAAUUCCUUGUCGGGUAAGUUCCGACCUGCACGAAUGGCGUAAUGAUGGCCAGGCUGUCUCCACCCGAGACUCAGUGAAAUUGAACUCGCUGUGAAGAUGCAGUGUACCCGCGGCAAGACGGAAAGACCCCGUGAACCUUUACUAUAGCUUGACACUGAACAUUGAGCCUUGAUGUGUAGGAUAGGUGGGAGGCUUUGAAGUGUGGACGCCAGUCUGCAUGGAGCCGACCUUGAAAUACCACCCUUUAAUGUUUGAUGUUCUAACGUGGGCCCCUUACCGGGGUUGCGGACAGUGUCUGGUGGGUAGUUUGACUGGGGCGGUCUCCUCCUAAAGAGUAACGGAGGAGCACGAAGGUUGGCUAAUCCUGGUCGGACAUCAGGAGGUUAGUGCAAUGGCAUAAGCCAGCUUGACUGCGAGCGUGACGGCGCGAGCAGGUGCGAAAGCAGGUCAUAGUGAUCCGGUGGUUCUGAAUGGAAGGGCCAUCGCUCAACGGAUAAAAGGUACUCCGGGGAUAACAGGCUGAUACCGCCCAAGAGUUCAUAUCGACGGCGGUGUUUGGCACCUCGAUGUCGGCUCAUCACAUCCUGGGGCUGAAGUAGGUCCCAAGGGUAUGGCUGUUCGCCAUUUAAAGUGGUACGCGAGCUGGGUUUAGAACGUCGUGAGACAGUUCGGUCCCUAUCUGCCGUGGGCGCUGGAGAACUGAGGGGGGCUGCUCCUAGUACGAGAGGACCGGAGUGGACGCAUCACUGGUGUUCGGGUUGUCAUGCCAAUGGCACUGCCCGGUAGCUAAAUGCGGAAGAGAUAAGUGCUGAAAGCAUCUAAGCACGAAACUUGCCCCGAGAUGAGUUCUCCCUGACUCCUUGAGAGUCCUGAAGGAACGUUGAAGACGACGACGUUGAUAGGCCGGGUGUGUAAGCGCAGCGAUGCGUUGAGCUAACCGGUACUAAUGAACCGUGAGGCUUAACCUU